This 253-nucleotide ribosomal RNA is filed under the name uncultured bacterium. RNAcentral's name for it is "partial 16S ribosomal RNA". It matches the Rfam family "Bacterial small subunit ribosomal RNA", at positions 524 to 776 of the family's 1533-position model. The record is from RNAcentral.
UACGAAGGGGGCUAGCGUUGUUCGGAAUUACUGGGCAUAAAGCGUGCGCAGGCGGCCAUCCAAGUCGGUGGUGAAAUCCUGGAGCUCAACUCCAGAACUGCCUUCGAUACUGGGAGUCUCGAGUCCGGGAGAGGUGAGUGGAACUGCGAGUGUAGAGGUGAAAUUCGUAGAUAUUCGCAGGAACACCAGUGGCGAAGGCGGCUCACUGGCCCGGUACUGACGCUGAGGUGCGAAAGCGUGGGGAGCAAACAGG